This 63-nucleotide transfer RNA is filed under the name Euwallacea fornicatus. RNAcentral describes it as "tRNA-Phe". The record is from RNAcentral. Lineage: Eukaryota; Metazoa; Arthropoda; Insecta; Coleoptera; Curculionidae.
AUUUAAAUAGCUUAAAUAAAAGCAUAGUAUUGAAGAUACUAGGAUGGGUUUUACCUUUAAAUA